RNAcentral lists this ribosomal RNA (497 nucleotides) under uncultured bacterium. Its description in RNAcentral is "partial 16S ribosomal RNA". It matches the Rfam family "Bacterial small subunit ribosomal RNA", at positions 28 to 507 of the family's 1533-position model. The record is from RNAcentral.
GAUGAACGCUGGCGGCGUGCCUAAUACAUGCAAGUCGAGCGAACAGGCGAGGCGCUUGGUCCUCUGGAGUUAGCGGCGGGCGGGUGAGUAACAAGUGGAUAACCUACCUAUAAGACUUGGAUAACUUCGGGAAAACGGAGCUAAUAACGGAUAACAUGUUGAAACGGAUGGUUCAAAAGUUAAAGACGGUUUUGCUUGUCCCUAUAGAUGGAUCCGCGUUGCAUGAGCUAGUUGGUAAGGUAACGGCUUACCAAGGCAACGAUGCGUAGCCGACCUGAGAGGGUGAUCGGCCACACUGGAACUGAGACACGGUCCAGACUCCUACGGGAGGCAGCAGUAGGGAAUCUUCCGCAAUGGGCGAAAGCCUGACGGAGCAACGCCGCGUGAGUGAAGAAGGUCUUCGGAUCGUAAAACUCUGUUAUUAGGGAAGAACAAAUGUGUAAGUAACUAUGCACGUCUUGACGGUACCUAAUCAGAAAGCCACGGCUAACUACGUG